Molecule: ribosomal RNA, 442 nt
Filed under: uncultured bacterium
Lineage: Bacteria
Description: bacterial SSU rRNA
Rfam family: Bacterial small subunit ribosomal RNA
Source: RNAcentral
GAUGAACGCUGGCGGCGUGCUUAACACAUGCAAGUCGAACGAAGCACUUCAUAAAGUUUACUUUAAGAAGUGACUUAGUGGCGGACGGGUGAGUAACGCGUGGGUAACCUGCCUUACACAGGGGGAUAACAGUUAGAAAUGACUGCUAAUACCGCAUAAAACAGCAGAGUCGCAUGACUCAACUGUCAAAGAUUUAUCGGUGUAAGAUGGACCCGCGUCUGAUUAGCUGGUUGGUGGGGUAACGGCCUACCAAGGCGACGAUCAGUAGCCGGCCUGAGAGGGUGAACGGCCACAUUGGGACUGAGACACGGCCCAAACUCCUACGGGAGGCAGCAGUGGGGAAUAUUGGACAAUGGGCGAAAGCCUGAUCCAGCGACGCCGCGUGAGCGAUGAAGUAUUUCGGUAUGUAAAGCUCUAUCAGCAGGGAAGAAAACGACGGUAC